CGGCGAGUGAAGCGGCAACAGCUCAAAUUUGAAAGCUGGCACCUUCGGUGUCCGCGUUGUAAUUUGUAGAGGAUGCUUCGGCGAGGACUCCUGCCUAAGUUCCCUGGAAUGGGACGUCACAGAGGGUGAGAAUCCCGUAUGUGGCGGGCGGUCCAAGCCAUGUGAAGCUCCUUCGACGAGUCGAGUUGUUUGGGAAUGCAGCUCUAAAUGGGAGGUAAAUUUCUUCUAAAGCUAAAUACCGGCCAGAGACCGAUAGCGCACAAGUAGAGUGAUCGAAAGAUGAAAAGCACUUUGGAAAGAGAGUUAAAAAGUACGUGAAAUUGUUGAAAGGGAAGCGCUUGCAACCAGACUCGCUCGCAGUUGCUCAGCCCGCCUCUUGGUGGGUGUACUCUUCUGCGAUCGGGCCAGCAUCAGUUCGGGCGGCUGGAUAAAGGUGUCGGGAAUGUAGCACCCUUCGGGGUGUGUUAUAGCCCGGCGCGGAAUGCAGCCAGCCUGGACUGAGGAUCUCGCUUCGGCAAGGAUGCUGGCGUAAUGGUUGUAAGCGGCCCGUCUUGAAACACGGACCAAGGAGUCUAACAUCUAUGCGAGUGUUUGGGUGUCAAACCCAUGCGCGUAAUGAAAGUGAACGGAGGUGGGAACCCGCAAGGGUGCACCAUCGACCGAUCCUGAUGUCUUCGGAUGGAUUUGAGUAAGAGCAUAGCUGUUGGGACCCGAAAGAUGGUGAACUAUGCCUGAAUAGGGUGAAGCCAGAGGAAACUCUG
This 761-nucleotide ribosomal RNA is filed under the name Phyllosticta cussoniae. RNAcentral's name for it is "eukaryotic LSU rRNA". It matches the Rfam family "Eukaryotic large subunit ribosomal RNA", at positions 87 to 866 of the family's 3401-position model. The record is from RNAcentral. Lineage: Eukaryota; Fungi; Ascomycota; Dothideomycetes; Botryosphaeriales; Phyllostictaceae.